RNAcentral lists this small nuclear RNA (103 nucleotides) under Tupaia belangeri (northern tree shrew). Lineage: Eukaryota; Metazoa; Chordata; Mammalia; Scandentia; Tupaiidae. The record is from RNAcentral.
GUGCUUGCUUCAGCAGCACAUAUACUAAAAUUGGAUACAGAGAAAAUUAGCAUGGCCCCUGCGCAGGGAUGACAUGCAAAUUCAUGAAGCAUUCCAUAUUUUU